GACUUAUCAAGAGUGGUGGAGGGACUGGCCCGAAGAAACCCAGCAACCGAUAUAUUUAUAUAUAAGGUGCUAAAUCCUGCAGCGUAAUAGAGCUGAAAGAUAAGGU
RNAcentral lists this non-coding RNA (106 nucleotides) under Clostridium sp. RNAcentral's name for it is "SAM-I sequence". It matches the Rfam family "SAM riboswitch aptamer (S box leader)". Rfam says of the family: The SAM riboswitch is found upstream of a number of genes which code for proteins involved in methionine or cysteine biosynthesis in Gram-positive bacteria. RNAcentral also lists the same sequence under 1 other name. The record is from RNAcentral. Lineage: Bacteria; Bacillati; Bacillota; Clostridia; Eubacteriales; Clostridiaceae.